GGAAGAGGAGUGGAUUGGAAUUUGCUUGGUCUCAAACGGGGUAUGACAGCAAAAAGCUAGCCUGAGAACUGCAAGCCUAGCCAAGCACUAGCAGGAGGAGUUUAACGAAAUGUACUGGGAUCAGGAUCACAACGAAGAGGUUCCCGUGGAGGAAUAAAACAGCCUAAAGCUGAGUUUUUCAGAUGGCCCAUCCUUGAACAGUUAUGAAUACCGUGUGGACAUUCAAUACCUGGAGCAAGAAUAAAACUGAAGUUCUACAGAUAUCUGAGGAGAAUCUCUUGAAUAAGCCAGCAGGACUGUACACUGGGAACUAUGGGUUGGGGCCUAAAUAGGAAAAGACAGGAAAUCAAGUGAUGUUCAAAACUCUAAUAAAAUAGAAAUCACACAGAAUCCUGUUCGGGGUCAGAAUAAUUUUACAUACAUACGUGUGUGUGUGUAUA
This is a non-coding RNA of Anas platyrhynchos (mallard), 440 nucleotides long. The record is from RefSeq and is a predicted model, not a curated record. NCBI's taxonomy places the organism in Eukaryota, Metazoa, Chordata, Aves, Anseriformes, Anatidae.